AUCNGGCUACCAUGCAGUCGAGGGGCAGCAUUUCAGUUUGCUUGCAAACUGGAGAUGGCGACCGGCGCACGGGUGAGUAACACGUAUCCAACCUGCCGAUAACUCGGGGAUAGCCUUUCGAAAGAAAGAUUAAUACCCGAUGGUAUAAUCAGACCGCAUGGUCUNAUUAUUAAAGAAUUUCGGUUAUCGAUGGGGAUGCGUUCCAUUAGGCAGUUGGUGAGGUAACGGCUCACCAAACCUUCGAUGGAUAGGGGUUCUGAGAGGAAGGUCCCCCACAUUGGAACUGAGACACGGUCCAAACUCCUACGGGAGGCAGCAGUGAGGAAUAUUGGUCAAUGGGCGCAGGCCUGAACCAGCCAAGUAGCGUGAAGGAUGACUGCCCUAUGGGUUGUAAACUUCUUUUAUAUGGGAAUAAAGUUUUCCACGUGUGGAAUUUUGUAUGUACCAUAUGAAUAAGGAUCGGCUAACUCCGUGCCAGCAGCCGCGGUAAUACGGAGGAUCCGAGCGUUAUCCGGAUUUAUUGGGUUUAAAGGGAGCGUAGGUGGACAGUUAAGUCAGUUGUGAAAGUUUGCGGCUCAACCGUAAAAUUGCAGUUGAUACUGGCUGUCUAGAGUACAGUAGAGGUGGGCGGAAUUCGUGGUGUAGCGGUGAAAUGCUUAGAUAUCACGAAGAACUCCGAUUGCGAAGGCAGCUCACUGGACUGCAACUGACACUGAUGCUCGAAAGUGUGGGUAUCAAACAGGAUUAGAUACCCUGGUAGUCCACACAGUAAACGAUGAAUACUCGCUGUUUGCGAUAUACAGUAAGCGGCCAAGCGAAAGCAUUUAAGUAUUCCACCUGGGGAGUACGCCGGCAACGGUGAAACUCAAAGGAAUUGACGGGGCCCCGCACAAGCGGAGGAACAUGUGGUUUAAUUCGAUGAUACGCGAGGAACCUUACCCGGGCUUAAAUUGCAUUUGAAUANUNUGGAAACAGGUUAGCCGCAAGGCAAAUGUGAAGGUGCUGCAUGGUUGUCGUCAGCUCGUGCCGUGAGGUGUCGGCUUAAGUGCCAUAACGAGCGCAACCCUUAUCUUUAGUUACUAACAGGUCAUGCUGAGGACUCUAGAGAGACUGCCGUCGUAAGAUGUGAGGAAGGUGGGGAUGACGUCAAAUCAGCACGGCCCUUACGUCCGGGGCUACACACGUGUUACAAUGGGGGGUACAGAAGGCAGCUACCUGGUGACAGGAUGCUAAUCCCAAAAGCCUCUCUCAGUUCGGAUCGAAGUCUGCAACCCGACUUCGUGAAGCUGGAUUCGCUAGUAAUCGCGCAUCAGCCAUGGCGCGGUGAAUACGUUCCCGGGCCUUGUACACACCGCCCGUCAAGCCAUGAAAGCCGGGGGUACCUGAAGUACGUAACCGCAAGGAGCUCCUAGGAAUG
This 1417-nucleotide ribosomal RNA is filed under the name bacterium NLAE-zl-P297. RNAcentral's name for it is "bacterial SSU rRNA". It matches the Rfam family "Bacterial small subunit ribosomal RNA". The record is from RNAcentral.